Molecule: long non-coding RNA, 320 nt
Filed under: Solanum lycopersicum (tomato)
Lineage: Eukaryota; Viridiplantae; Streptophyta; Magnoliopsida; Solanales; Solanaceae
Description: long non-coding RNA (SLYC_LNC001120)
Source: RNAcentral
UGCCGGUAUAGCAAAACCGGCAAUUCAUGGCACAACCUACUUGACUAGAUAUACAGACAGUGUUCCUGCCCCGCUCACAAGGUAUCAGAACAGUUUCUAUUACCAGACCAUCUUCCAACUUGAAUAACAUAUGUAAGAUCCUGUAAGUGCUAUUUAUUAAGUGAUGAAUCAAAAACAAAACAGAUGGCACUCAACAUUCUAAAUAUUGCACAAGCUAUGUACCUUUUUAGUUCCAUCAGACGCUGUCAGAAUAUCUUUCAAGUUUAACGUCUUAAAUUCAGCAUGUUCACCUAACAUUUUCCUGAAAUCCUUAUUCAAAC